CCACUGGAGAGUUUGAUCCUGGCUCAGGAUGAACGCUAGCGGCAGGCUUAACACAUGCAAGUCGAGGGGUAUAGUUCUUCGGAACUAGAGACCGGCGCACGGGUGCGUAACGCGUAUGCAAUCUACCUUUCACAGAGGGAUAGCCCAGAGAAAUUUGGAUUAAUACCUCAUAGUAUAAUUGAAUGGCAUCAUUUAAUUAUUAAAGUCACAACGGUGAAAGAUGAGCAUGCGUCCCAUUAGCUUGUUGGUAAGGUAACGGCUUACCAAGGCAACGAUGGGUAGGGGUCCUGAGAGGGAGAUCCCCCACACUGGUACUGAGACACGGACCAGACUCCUACGGGAGGCAGCAGUGAGGAAUAUUGGUCAAUGGGCGCAAGCCUAAACCAGCCAUGCCGCGUGCAGGAUGACGGUCCUAUGGAUUGUAAACUGCUUUUGUACAGGAAGAAACACUGGUUCGUGAACCAGCUUGACGGUACUGUAAGAAUAAGGAUCGGCUAACUCCGUGCCAGCAGCCGCGGUAAUACGGAGGAUCCAAGCGUUAUCCGGAAUCAUUGGGUUUAAAGGGUCCGUAGGCGGUCAGAUAAGUCAGUGGUGAAAGCCCAUCGCUCAACGGUGGAACGGCCAUUGAUACUGUCUGACUUGAAUUAUUAGGAAGUAGCUAGAAUAUGUAGUGUAGCGGUGAAAUGCUUAGAGAUUACGUGGAAUACCAAUUGCGAAGGCAGGUUACUACUAAUGGAUUGACGCUGAUGGACGAAAGCAUGGGGAGCAAACAGGAUUAGAUACCCUGGUAGUCCAUGCCGUAAACGAUGUCAACUAGCCGUUGGGAGCCUUGAGCUCUUAGUGGCGCAGCUAACGCAUUAAGUUGACCGCCUGGGGAGUACGGCCGCAAGGUUAAAACUCAAAUGAAUUGACGGGGGCCCGCACAAGCGGUGGAGCAUGUGGUUUAAUUCGAAGCAACGCGAAGAACCUUACCAGGCCUUGACAUCCAAUGAACUUUCUAGAGAUAGAUUGGUGCCUUCGGGAACAUUGAGACAGGUGCUGCAUGGCUGUCGUCAGCUCGUGUCGUGAGAUGUUGGGUUAAGUCCCGUAACGAGCGCAACCCUUGUCCUUAGUUACCAGCACGUAAUGGUGGGCACUCUAAGGAGACUGCCGGUGACAAACCGGAGGAAGGUGGGGAUGACGUCAAGUCCUCAUGGCCCUUAUAGGUGGGGCUACACACGUCAUACAAUGGCUGGUACAGAAGGUUGCCAACCCGCGAGGGGGAGCUAAUCCUAUAAAGCCAGUCGUAGUCCGGAUCGCAGUCUGCAACUCGACUGCGUGAAGUCGGAAUCGCUAGUAAUCGCGGAUCAGAAUGUCGCGGUGAAUACGUUCCCGGGUCUUGUACACACCGCCCGUCACACCAUGGGAGCGGGUCUCGCCAGAAGUAGGUAGCCUAACCGCAAGGAGGGCGCUUACCACGGCGGGGUUCGUGACUGGGGUGAAGUCGUAACAAGGUAACCGCACAG
RNAcentral lists this ribosomal RNA (1505 nucleotides) under uncultured bacterium. Its description in RNAcentral is "partial 16S ribosomal RNA". It matches the Rfam family "Bacterial small subunit ribosomal RNA". The record is from RNAcentral.